AUUGAACGCUGGCGGCAGGCCUAACACAUGCAAGUCGAGCGGAUGAAGGGAGCUUGCUCCUGGAGUCAGCGUCGGACGGGUGAGUAAUGACUAGGAAUCUGCCUGGUAGUGGGGGAUAACGUCCGGAAACGGGCGCUAAUACCGCAUACGUCCUGAGGGAGAAAGUGGGGGAUCUUCGGACCUCACGCUAUCAGAUGAGCCUAGGUCGGAUUAGCUAGUUGGUGGGGUAAAGGCCUACCAAGGCGACGAUCCGUAACUGGUCUGAGAGGAUGAUCAGUCACACUGGAACUGAGACACGGUCCAGACUCCUACGGGAGGCAGCAGUGGGGAAUAUUGGACAAUGGGCGAAAGCCUGAUCCAGCCAUGCCGCGUGUGUGAAGAAGGUCUUCGGAUUGUAAAGCACUUUAAGUUGGGAGGAAGGGCAGUAAGUUAAUACCUUGCUGUUUUGACGUUACCAACAGAAUAAGCACCGGCUAACUUCGUG
RNAcentral lists this ribosomal RNA (484 nucleotides) under uncultured bacterium. RNAcentral's name for it is "partial 16S ribosomal RNA". It matches the Rfam family "Bacterial small subunit ribosomal RNA", at positions 30 to 507 of the family's 1533-position model. The record is from RNAcentral.